This 301-nucleotide ribosomal RNA is filed under the name uncultured bacterium. RNAcentral describes it as "partial 16S ribosomal RNA". It matches the Rfam family "Bacterial small subunit ribosomal RNA", at positions 509 to 807 of the family's 1533-position model. The record is from RNAcentral.
CAGCCGCCGCGGGAAUACGGAGGGUGCAAGCGUUAAUCGGAAUUACUGGGCGUAAAGCGCACGCAGGCGGUUUGUUAAGUCAGAUGUGAAAUCCCCGAGCUUAACUUGGGAACUGCAUUUGAAACUGGCAAGCUAGAGUCUUGUGGAGGGGGGUAGAAUUACAGGUGUAGCGGUGAAAUGCGUAGAGAUCUGGAGGAAUACCGGUGGCGAAGGCGGCCCCCUGGACAAAGACUGACGCUCAGGUGCGAAAGCGUGGGGAGCAAACAGGAUUAGAUACCCCUGUAGUCCCUGUCUCUUAUAC